This 483-nucleotide ribosomal RNA is filed under the name uncultured Bacteroidota bacterium. RNAcentral's name for it is "bacterial SSU rRNA". It matches the Rfam family "Bacterial small subunit ribosomal RNA", at positions 40 to 516 of the family's 1533-position model. The record is from RNAcentral. Lineage: Bacteria; Pseudomonadati; Bacteroidota.
CGGCAGGCCUAAUACAUGCAAGCUCGAGGGAGUAAGUUUGGUGCUUGCACUGAACGGGAACCGGCGAACGGGUGCGUAACACGUAUGCAACCUACCUAUAACUGGGGGAUAGCCCGAAGAAAUUCGGAUUAAUACCCUAUAAUACUUAUUUACCGCAUGGUAGAUAUUUUAAAACUCCGGUGGUUAUAGAUGGGCAUGCGGCCUAUUAGUUAGUUGGUGAGGUAACGGCUCACCAAGACUACGAUAGGUAGGGGGUCUGAGAGGAUGAUCCCCCACACUGGUACUGAGACACGGACCAGACUCCUACGGGAGGCAGCAGUAGGGAAUAUUGGACAAUGGACGAAAGUCUGAUCCAGCCAUGCCGCGUGCAGGAAGACUGCCCUAUGGGUUGUAAACUGCUUUUAUAUAGGAAGAAACCUCUCUACGUGUAGAGAGCUGACGGUACUAUACGAAUAAGGACCGGCUAACUCCGUGCCAGCAGCC